RNAcentral lists this ribosomal RNA (446 nucleotides) under uncultured bacterium. RNAcentral's name for it is "partial 16S ribosomal RNA". It matches the Rfam family "Bacterial small subunit ribosomal RNA", at positions 355 to 794 of the family's 1533-position model. The record is from RNAcentral.
UAGGGAAUCUUCGGCAAUGGACGAAAGUCUGACCGAGCAACGCCGCGUGAGUGAAGAAGGUUUUCGGAUCGUAAAACUCUGUUGGUAGAGAAGAACGUUGGUGAGAGUGGAAAGCUCAUCAAGUGACGGUAACUACCCAGAAAGGGACGGCUAACUACGUGCCAGCAGCCGCGGUAAUACGUAGGUCCCGAGCGUUGUCCGGAUUUAUUGGGCGUAAAGCGAGCGCAGGUGGUUUAUUAAGUCUGGUGUAAAAGGCAGUGGCUCAACCAUUGUAUGCAUUGGAAACUGGUAGACUUGAGUGCAGGAGAGGAGAGUGGAAUUCCAUGUGUAGCGGUGAAAUGCGUAGAUAUAUGGAGGAACACCGUGGCGAAAGCGGCUCUCUGGCCUGUAACUGACACUGAGGCUCGAAAGCGUGGGGAGCAAACAGGAUUAGAUACCCUGGUAGU